Phalaenopsis equestris is the source of this 222-nucleotide long non-coding RNA. RefSeq lists it as uncharacterized. Lineage: Eukaryota; Viridiplantae; Streptophyta; Magnoliopsida; Asparagales; Orchidaceae. The transcript is spliced from 2 exons. The record is from RefSeq and is a predicted model, not a curated record.
AUGUGAACCAUGCAGUUCUUUCUGUCGGCUAUGGAGUUGAAGAUGGUAUUCCCUACUGGCUUAUCAAGAACUCAUGGGGUGGAGACUGGGGCGAUCAUGGCUACUUCAAGAUGGAGCUUGGCAAGAACUUGUGUGGCGUCGCAACUUGUGCAUCUUACCCCAUUGUUGCUGUGUAGAAUCUUCCAUAAAUUAAAAUGAUGAGCUUAAAAGUUGUUAUCUUUA